UGGUGGAGUGGGGAGGACUUCAUGAAGGAUGGAUCUCAUUUCAGGGCAGGAUUUGAGGAAGUCGUAUCCCUGCUGGAGAGCCACAUUCAGAGUCUGGUCCAGUCCCGGAAAGUAUCCGGUCACAAGUGGGGCACUUUUGUGGUUCUUCUGUGGGAGGUUCUGGGUUUGAGGGGAUGAGGAAGUGGCUCUGGUUAUUUACUUCUGUACCAGGUCGGGAGGGUAGUUGCGGGAUGCGAAAGCUGUUGUCAGGUUGUUGGUGUAAUGGUUCAGAGAUUCCGGACUGGAGCAGAUUCGUUUGCCACGAAGACCUAUGCUGUAGGGAAGGGACCAUUUGAUGUGGAAUGGGUGGCAGCUGUCAUAAUGGAGGUACUGUCGCUUGUUGGUGGGUUUGAUGUGGACGGAUGUGUGAAGCUGGCCAUUGGACAGAUGGAGGUCAACGUCAAGGAAAGUGGCUUGGGAUUUGGAGUAGGCUAUCCGUGAUCUGAAGGCUGACCGAUCCAUCGUCAUUCUUCCGGCGGGCAAGGGUUCCACGACCAUGGUACUUGAUCGUCGGGAGUAUGUGGCUGAGGGACUGCGUCAGCUUUCAGACAACACCACAUACAAAUUUUGCCAAGGUAAUCCCAUUCCUGAUGUCCAGGCGGAGCUUCAAGGAAUCCUCAGAACAUUAGGCCCCCUACAAAACCUUUCACCUGACUACGUCAACCUCCUGGAGCACUUCCUUUCACGCCGAUCACCUGCCACCCUACCUAAAACCUCUUUCCUCAUUACCUUAGCCAGCUUCAUCCUAACUCACAACUUCUUCACUUUCGAAGGUCAGACAUACCAAUGUGCUUUCACACGUGGCUCUGCCUUUGAUCGUGUACACCUUCCGGGUUACAGGACUGGACUAGGUGGUGGUGGGAGGGUGCCCGGGACAGGUCUUACACCGGGAGCGGUUACAAGGAUAGGAGCCAGAGGGUAGGGAAGGUGGUUUGGGGAUUUCAUAGGGAUGAACUAACAGGUUACGAAGGUUAGGUGGACGGCGGAAAGACACUCUUGGUGGAGUGGGGUAAUUCAAAGUUAUUUAGUUGGCUGUACAUUAGACAUUCAAAAACUUCAGAGAUAAUUGGGACAAUAGAAACUGGUGGAUAGUUUUGGGGCAGAUGCUUAUCUCCCUUUUGAAAGACUGGUAUCGCUUUAGCAGUUUUGAGUUCAUUUGGGAAACCUCCAGAUUCUAAACAUACCUUAAAAAUGAAAGAAGGAGGUUGACAGAUAGUGUGUUAUUUUUUCAUUACAUAGUUGGAGAACCAAUAACAGUCCUUACUUGUGGAGUUGGUGAACCUUGCCACAAGUUUUACUACAUCCUCUGGGGUGACAACAUUCCAGUGGAAAGUAUACGUCCUAUGGGGCAUAGCACCAAGAUGAUCUAGUGUAAAAGUGCCAUUUUCCAAUGUUGUUAAAAAGGCUAUUGUCAGCUUAGUAUAUAAUUUUAUUGUUAAUUUAUCCAUGUUGGAGCUUGUUUAACUCCACAGCUAUGAAGGAUUGUCAGUGAAGACUGCAAUCAGCCACAACUACUUCUGAAAAGCAUUGAGUGCCAUUACUGGUUUGUAGCUGUCAUGCCAAUCUUAAAAUGGUUCUUUCUUUCUUUCUUUCCUUUUUUUUCUUCCCACAGUAACAUAUUCAUCAGCAGCAUUCCGUCCAUCUGUGCACUUCAUAAGAGUACUACAGCAUUUAGUGUUGCUUAAUAUGUUGUGUGGAUAGCAAAAACAUGUUAAUAUGCCAUCAUUUGAUAAAAUACAAAAUUAAAUAGUAAGAUAUUCAUUUUUUACUGGAUUUUGUUUCAUCUUGUUUUGGUCCUUACACCUUUUCAGGACAAAGCAUAAAGUGGUGAAAAGUGUAAACAUUGCACAUACUGUAAACAAACCAUUAUCUCUCUCUCUAUCUCUCUCUCUCUCUCUCUCUCUCUCUCUCUCUCACACACACACACACACACACACACACACACCACUUGUCAGUUGCAGCCGGAGACAUGUACUUCAUGUGUGAUGUUUUGGUUUACAGUGAAAAGGCUAUCCACUAAUCAAAGAUAUCACUCAUUUCCCAACAAGAAAAGAUUUCAUCUACUAUAAUUAAGCAAAGGAUAAGUGCAAGACAUGCAAACCUAAAUAACAGAGGAAAAAUGCUUUGUCCAUAAGAGUGAACAUCUGACAUAUCAAUAACUGAAGCAUGCCAUAGGAAAAAUUAAAAUGUGUAAUAAUUAGUGUGCUGUCAAAAGUCAAUCACAAGUGUUUUGAUUUUGGCCUCUGUCCAUUUUCUUCAAUGGUAUUGUUAGGAUGUUAAGUAGUGCAGUUGUUUUAUAUUGGAACAAGGGUAUUCUUGUUCGCAGUUCGGACUUGCGGGCCCAAUUGUGUUUAAUUUGUGUGAAAAGCCCAAGGAACAUCUGCUGGAAUUGUUUAUUAGCUAGCUCCAGACACUAAUUUAGAAUGUAUAGAUAUGACAUAAUGGUGUGAAUGGAGAUACACCUUCUUGCAUAUGUUAGUUAUAUUUUAUAUUUGGAAAUUACCUUUAAUGCUUGAAAUGGUGUGUUCUUUUGAUCCAUGUUAGUGCAGUUGCAGUUUUAUUUGAAUUUGGUGCUCUAUAAGCAUCAAUGAAUGUACAGAAUCUUGUACUACAGGUAUAUUAAACUUUCUGCUUGCCCGACAAAAAAAGAAGAAAAAGAAAUUUACAGCAGUCGUCUCAAUCAGUAUUGUAUAUUCCUGGUGACCCAGCUUGAUGAUUUUGGUUUUCUGUACUGUGUUCAGUUGCAUAGUCCUGUGUGUACAUAUAUUAAAGUUGACAUUGUUCUCUUGGCAGUAAUGUGCAGAAAAUAUUAGAUUUUUCCUCUGUAUGUCAUUUAUAAAAUAUCGGAUGUGUCUUAAUAGAAAGACGAAAAUUUUUUUAAGAGAUUAACUUAUCCAUGCAUACAGCAAUAACAUCUUAUACAGUUCUAUAUUAUGUUGUCUUAAUUUUGACACAUUGUGUACAGCGUUCUUGAAACAUAUCUCAAACAAGUUCACAAUUAAGGUAAAAUAAGUUACGCAAUUUGUAUUGUGUAAGUACUCACUGGAUGAGUGAAUGUUUGUAAUGUAGUCACUCACUUUCAGCUGUAUUCACUACCUUGGCAACACUUUUGCCAUUCUGAUAUAUUUUUUGUGUCAUCAUGUUAACCCUUCUGAAAAAGAAGUCAUAAUCUCACCACAGUGUCGAGAUCAGGAAAAUGAAAUCAACCACAGGUCCUGGGCAAAGGAUUUCACAGCAGAAUGAAAGGUGUUUCUAAUUAAAUGGUCAGUUUUACGCCAUUGUCUGCUCCAUGCUACAUGAAUAAAAUAGACCUUGACUUUGUACAACCGAUUAUCUUUUUUAAAUUGAAUUUUAAGUGCCUUUUUAAUGUUAGGGAAAUUUAUUGUAAAUUUUAUUAUCUUGUAGAAAGUGCUGUUUUGCAUUCUCUCUCUCUCUCUCUCUCUCUCUCUCUCUCUGUGUGUGUGUGUGUGUGUGUGUGUGUGUGUGUGUAAGUUUUGUCUGGUUAAUACAUGUGAUGGUUAUGAAUACUGUUUCAGAUAACUGCUGUUAUGUUCUGAGGUAAGCCAAUAAAAUUGAGAUUCAAUGUAAUAUUAUGUAACUGCCGAAACUAUGUGGUUUUGAGGUAAUUGUUUGGGAGAGGGAGCUGCUAUAGAUUAGUAUGAUAUUUACACUGCUGAGCAAUAAAUGAACUUGUGAUCAUCAAAAUCUCCACUGUACAAUAGGCUGAAGACCUACAGCAGUUUCGUUAAAGAAAUUGUACAUUGCUCAAAUGUCAAGUGAAAUGAUUCACUGAAGUUUCUUUCAUGUACUUAACAAGUAUUGAAAAUUAAUUAUUUACCUUUAACUUAAUAUAACCUGUGGUGAUUUAUGCUCUGUACGUAAUAGAUAUCAUUAUCUACUCUGCUUGUAACUGGUAAUUCUUUAAUCAGGUCUUGUGGUUGCGUAUGUAGUUUAUUCUUGUUAUAUGCAGUACAUUUUGUAUGUCAAUGUGUCAUUUGCCAGGAAAUUAAGUUUGAGGGAACAGAAUUCCCAGUAUACAGCUAUAACUUGUGAUAAUAUUUAAAAUAGUUUUUGCACAAAUAUCUGAAAAAUAUCCAAAAUUCAAUAUUAAGUGAAUAACAGUCCACUUCCUUUUCUUACUGUAUAGUGACUUCUACAAUUGGAUAUUUCUCUUAAAGGCACUUUUAAAAAAUAAACAUGCCUUAAUCAUUCUUGGUGUUGUAAAUAUUAUCUUUGUUAGGUUCAGUUUUGUUUUGUUACUUUAUGUGCACGUGCAUAACAUGGAAUGAAUCAAAUCAUAAAAAUACAAUUUUGGUGUAAAAUAUCAUCUCUGUACACAAGUUAAUAGUACUAUUAGUACGAAUGAUGUACAAUUUUAAUCAGUGUUACAGUGCAAUGCUGUUAUUUGCCAGUGUAAAUAUGUAAUUGUUUGUCAGAGUAUAUGUGUAAUUUUUCAUGAUAAUGUAACUUCAGUUGUGUUCAUUUUACUCUAGACGGCAGUUUGGCAUUUUUGGAAACGCCAUCACCUCUUAUGUUGAUUUGAUCAUACACUUUAUUGCAACCUCAUCCAUAAAUAUUGCUCUCCUUAUUAAGCUGUGUUGAGGUCGGGGGUUCAGUUCCUACUUCUGUAGUUGAAGCUGUGGAAGCUUGUAUUUGUUUUCAGUUUGAUGCAAUCUGUUAAUUAUCAGUUCAUUUACUCUUUCUUGUAUGGGGUCAUAAAUAUGAUCACUGUAGAAAAGGUGUGUGUGUGUGUGUGUGUGUGUGUGUGUGUGUGUGUGUGUGUGUGGGCGCGCGCGCGCUUUAGUGAUGCAAGUAGUAAUUACAAUUAUCAUUUACUGCAAGUAUUACUAGAUUACCUCAUACCAUAAAUCAUAAAUUUUAUGAAACCAUCUUAUUUGUAAAAGCAGUUAAAACCUCAUAUGUUUAGCUUGUAUAAAGUUCAUUAUAGUACUUCAGUGGAUUCUUACUAUUUUUCAGUUAGAAGAAAUUAACAUUGAGCACUUCAUGGUUAUUAGUUCUUAUGGUUGUGCUAUAUAUGCAUAGUGAAAUAUGCAUAAGUUGCAAAUAUUGUGUGUGUUCAUGAAAUUUCUUUGUUGUUGUUGUUGUUGUUGUUGUCAUUGAUUAUGAUGAUGAUGAUGAUGAUGAUGAUGAUGAUGAUGAUGAGGCUGUGAUGUUAAUAUCAUUGCAAUUCCCCCUUCUUACCAGAAGAUGUAUUUAUGAGAACUGAAGCGAGAGGAAUGGACAGUGAAGCUGAGUACCAUUGCAUUUAUUUGUCUUACCAACAAAUUUGAGCAACGAUCUGCCCCCACCAAGAUUCCACCUCAUGUGCCUGCAGCAUGCAAUCCACCUUAGCACAGAUGCUAAUGAAAGUCCUGCUUACGAUGAGAGUCUGUGGGUAUAUGUAGCAGUAAUACUGAACUGUGUUAAAGAAUUUCAGCAGCAAUUGUUAUUAUCACAACUGAAGUGAGCCGAUGGAAUUUAUGCCACCAAGCCGUGUACUUUGGGGAGACAAUGCGACACUCAGGGCCUGGAAUAUUCCAUAGAGGAGCGGUGUUGCCACACUUUCGUGAGGAGGUCAUGACCAAAAGAUGUGGUGGGGCUGAUGUCAUUACAAGACCUUCUCCUGCAGUGCUGGACUAGACUCACGGCUGACCAGAUGGGAACCAGGUGGAUGAAUGUGGUAGCCUGCAGCAUCACUUCACAACUUCCAGAGCCAUCAAGGACCUGCACUGAUGAUAUCCUGUGAUCAUCAGCAAAGUCAUUUUUUUCAUUUCUACUGUGUUGCUGGACGUAACAGUGGAACUAAUGCAGUGACGGAGCUAGUGCGACGAUUGGACUGGUUCAGUAACGAAAACAGUCUUUGAUGGAUGAGCGUUGCUGAGGUGCAAGAAUUUCUUCUGUUAGGUGUGCAGCCACCAGGAUGACACUCUGUUCCUAGCUGUAUGGGACAUUGCUGAUAUCCUAGGCUCCUGGAUCGACAAGUACUACCUCGGUGUCUGUUACACCCAACCUCCGUGCCUCGCCCUGCAACGUAGUUGGUAUACGAUGCAGAAAGAUUAUUUUCAGCUUUUGUACUAAGAGAGGACUGGUGGUAGGUAGAUCUAUCCUGACCCCAUCCACAAAGUACAGUUCUUUAAUUUUGAAUUUGACAUCAAAUUUUUAGGGAAAAACAACAUUCUACAAAGAGUUACAACUUGAGGAAUUCUCAACCAGUGGAUAUGAAUCUAAAUGUGCAUUGGAGCAUUUCUCACGGGGCACAAGACAUGGAUAGCCACAUCUGUUUGUGGCGCUGUAAACUGUGACUCGAAAGGUUACCAGUGUUUUCUUCAGUAGUGCUUCUAAAGCAGUGGUGGUGUAGGCUAUGCAUUAAUGGAUGUGAGAACAUCCAUCAGGGCUUUCAGAAUGUGUAACUGCACAGCAAGGUAGUGUCAUCAACCAUUCUUUCACCCAGUUACAGAACAUGUAAAUAAAUUACAUGCAUUGAUCGGUAUCAAUGACAACAACAAUAACAAUAGUCUAGUCAUUAGACAGUAAAUUGAUAAUUAUUUCUUUAUUCCAUCUGACAAGUUGGUUGUUUAAUGUAGCAGUGCCUUCCUUAUCUGAGGAAAGUGUGAAUAAACAUACGAAUGAUCUUCAAUUAAUUUUUGAUAUAUGCACAUGUUGGUGCAACAGUAUUUCUAUUUUUCAGCUAUUAAGUAAACUUAAAUAAGUCACUGAAUUGUCCAUUUAAUAGACUUGUGUAUUUAUUUAGAUGUUAAGUACAUCACUGUACUAUUUCUUUGAUAUCUUGUUGGAAUACUAGUCACUCUAACAGCUUUUAUCUCAAAUUUGCAUAUGGUAUUGCCUAACAUUUGCUUGUAAAUAAGUUGUCAAAGCUCUACUUCUAAAGAAUUCGGUUUGCUAUGUUUUUUAAAUGUUAGUAUACCCUGGGCAUUGAUAAUGUUGUACUUUCAGUACACUGGCUAAAAUUAUUUCAAGUUAUCCAUUAUUGUUAUGUUCUGUUUGUCUUUAUAAUAUGUUUGUAUUUAUUUACACUUGUGUGCCGAUGUUAGUUACUAUUUUGUUACUGCUCUCUCAUAAAAACAAAUCAUUGAUUAGUAUACUUAUUAAUCUAUUUUUACGUAUUUAUUAUUUAUUGCUGUCAGAAACGGGCAUCCUUGUGGAUGCUUCCAGUGUUUUCCAGUGGUGGUGUAAGUAGCAAUACCAUCAUUUAGAAUUAAAUAAAAUACUGUUUGACAUGCACAA
Schistocerca serialis cubense is the source of this 7284-nucleotide long non-coding RNA. RefSeq lists it as uncharacterized. The record is from RefSeq and is a predicted model, not a curated record. NCBI's taxonomy places the organism in Eukaryota, Metazoa, Arthropoda, Insecta, Orthoptera, Acrididae. The transcript has 2 exons.